RNAcentral lists this ribosomal RNA (384 nucleotides) under uncultured bacterium. Its description in RNAcentral is "bacterial SSU rRNA". It matches the Rfam family "Bacterial small subunit ribosomal RNA", at positions 30 to 414 of the family's 1533-position model. The record is from RNAcentral.
AUUGAACGCUGGCGGCAUGCCUUACACAUGCAAGUCGAACGGCAGCGCGGGGCAACCUGGCGGCGAGUGGCGAACGGGUGAGUAAUAUAUCGGAACAUACCCUAGAGUGGGGGAUAACGUAGUGAAAGUUACGCUAAUACCGCAUACGCACUAAGGUGGAAAGUGGGGGAUUCGCAAGAACCUCAUGCUCAUGGAGUGGCCGAUAUCUGAUUAGCUAGUUGGUGAGGUAAAGGCUCACCAAGGCGACGAUCAGUGGCUGGUUUGAGAGAACGACCAGCCACACUGGAACUGAGACACGGUCCAGACUCCUACGGGAGGCAGCAGUGGGGAAUUUUGGACAAUGGGGGCAACCCUGAUCCAGCAAUGCCGCGUGAGUGAAGAAGG